Molecule: ribosomal RNA, 882 nt
Filed under: Salmonella enterica subsp. enterica serovar Infantis
Lineage: Bacteria; Pseudomonadati; Pseudomonadota; Gammaproteobacteria; Enterobacterales; Enterobacteriaceae
Also listed under: 2 other names
Description: partial 23S ribosomal RNA
Rfam family: Bacterial large subunit ribosomal RNA
Source: RNAcentral
GCAGUGUACCCGCGGCAAGACGGAAAGACCCCGUGAACCUUUACUAUAGCUUGACACUGAACAUUGAGCCUUGAUGUGUAGGAUAGGUGGGAGGCUUUGAAGCGUGGACGCCAGUCUGCGUGGAGCCGACCUUGAAAUACCACCCUUUAAUGUUUGAUGUUCUAACGUGGAUCCGUAAUCCGGGUUGCGGACAGUGUCUGGUGGGUAGUUUGACUGGGGCGGUCUCCUCCUAAAGAGUAACGGAGGAGCACGAAGGUUGGCUAAUCCUGGUCGGACAUCAGGAGGUUAGUGCAAUGGCAUAAGCCAGCUUGACUGCGAGCGUGACGGCGCGAGCAGGUGCGAAAGCAGGUCAUAGUGAUCCGGUGGUUCUGAAUGGAAGGGCCAUCGCUCAACGGAUAAAAGGUACUCCGGGGAUAACAGGCUGAUACCGCCCAAGAGUUCAUAUCGACGGCGGUGUUUGGCACCUCGAUGUCGGCUCAUCACAUCCUGGGGCUGAAGUAGGUCCCAAGGGUAUGGCUGUUCGCCAUUUAAAGUGGUACGCGAGCUGGGUUUAGAACGUCGUGAGACAGUUCGGUCCCUAUCUGCCGUGGGCGCUGGAGAACUGAGGGGGGCUGCUCCUAGUACGAGAGGACCGGAGUGGACGCAUCACUGGUGUUCGGGUUGUCAUGCCAAUGGCACUGCCCGGUAGCUAAAUGCGGAAGAGAUAAGUGCUGAAAGCAUCUAAGCACGAAACUUGCCCCGAGAUGAGUUCUCCCUGAGACUUAGAGUCUCCUGAAGGAACGUUGAAGACGACGACGUUGAUAGGCCGGGUGUGUAAGCGCAGCGAUGCGUUGAGCUAACCGGUACUAAUGAACCGUGAGGCUUAACCUUACAACGCCGAAG